GGCGGGCGGCGGGGCCGACAUGGAGGGCGAGGCGGUCAGCGGGGCGCAGCUCAUCGCCCAGGGGCUCAGGGCGCAAAAUAUCGAAUACAUGUUUGGCAUUGUUGGUAUUCCAGUCACUGAAAUCGCAAUUGCAGCCCAGGCGGUUGGAAUAAAAUAUGUGGGAAUGAGAAACGAACAAGCUGCCUGUUAUGCUGCAUCUGCUAUUGGAUAUUUGACUGGCAGACCAGGAGUAUGUCUUGCAGUGUCUGGUCCAGGUUUCUUACACACCCUUGGUGGGAUGGCAAAUGCAACCAUUAACUGCUGGCCUUUGAUUGUUAUUGGAGGUUCUUCUGACAGAAAUCAGGAAACCAUGGGAGCUUUCCAAGAAUUCCCACAGGUUGAAGCUGGCAGACUGUACAACAAGCUGUCUGUCCGCCCAAGCUGCCUGGAAGUUAUUCCUGCAGUUAUUGAAAAGGCUGUAAGAACCAGUAUGUAUGGUCGUCCAGGUUCCUGCUAUAUUGACAUACCCGGGGAUUUUGUGAAUCUUCAGGUGAAUAAGAGCGCUGUCAAGUAUGUGGAAUGCUGCCUGCCACCUCCCAUCAGCAUGGCUGAACACUCUGCUGUAUCCAAAGCAGCCUCUGUCAUUGCUCUUUCCAAGCAGCCUCUGCUCAUCAUUGGCAAAGGUGCUGCUUAUUCACAUGCUGAAAACAACAUCAGAAAGUUGGUGGACCUUUGUGGACUGCCUUUUUUGCCUACGCCAAUGGCAAAAGGAGUAGUUCCUGAUAACCAUCCAAAUUGUGUAGCUGCAGCAAGAUCAACGGCAUUACAGCAUGCUGAUGUAAUCAUCUUGCUUGGUGCAAGGUUGAAUUGGAUUUUGCAUUUUGGUCUUCCACCAAGGUAUCGACAGGAUGUAAAGGUUAUUCAGAUUGAUAUUUGUGCAGAAGAGCUGGGGAAUAAUGUAAGGCCAGCUGCAACUUUAUUAGGUGACAUAAACGCCGUGACUGAGCAGCUCCUACAAGAAUUCAGCAAAAGAUCAUGGAAAUACCCUUCUAAUUCAGAGUGGUGGCAGAAGCUAAGAGGGAAAAUAAAGAACAACGAGGAAAGAUCAAAGGGAUUAGCAUUACAGAAAUCUCUGCCUAUGAAUUAUUAUACAGUCUUUCAUCACAUCAGAGAACUGAUACCCAAGGACUGCAUUUUAGUAAGUGAGGGAGCAAACACCAUGGACAUUGGACGAACUAUGCUUCCAAAUUUCUAUCCCCGUCAAAGGCUUGAUGCAGGUACUUUUGGAACCAUGGGAGUGGGGCUGGGUUUUGCCAUAGCAGCUGCAAUGGUAGCCAGAGACCACACACCUGGAAGGCGAGUUAUCUGCAUAGAAGGGGAUAGUGCUUUUGGAUUUUCUGGCAUGGAGGUGGAGACUAUCUGCAGAUACAACCUGCCAAUCGUGGUUAUCGUAGUAAACAACAAUGGGAUUUACACUGGUCUGGAUGCAAAUUCCUGGGAGGAGAUGUUAAAGUUUGGUGACCCUGCUACAUGUGUACCUCCUGUUUCUCUCCUGCCAAAUGCACACUAUGAGAAAAUUAUGUCUGCCUUUGGAGGUAAAGGAUACUUUGUUAAAACACCGGAAGAGUUGCAGAAUGCUCUGAAAGCAAGUGUGACUGACAAACAAACACCUUCUCUUAUAAAUGUAAUGAUUGAUCCACAAUCUGAGAGAAAGAAACAGGAAUUUCCCUGGCUGACUCGUUCUAACCUGUAGUAGAAGAGGAAGAUGAUGGUGGUGCAAGGCAGCGCGUUAAACGAAAUCGAAUUGUUUUCUGGAAGUGGAACUGAUACAACUGUAUUUUGCAUGGGUGUUGGAACAAAGUGAGGUUUUAGAACUGCUGUUAGAGGAAUCUUUAAAUGCUGAAAUUAGGUAAUUUUAAAAUGAGAAAGUCACACAUGACUGUACCGGGCCUUCUAGCAGAUUGUACGCAAACACUGAUGAUAAAAUUAUAUACUUCUUUUACUCAGAGUAAUACCCAUUAUUUGUGAAUUAAAAUCUUGAAUGGUUCUGGAUGAACAGGAUAAGGUGAGGGUUUUAUGCUGUCUGAAACAUAGAAGUGUUUGAUAGUCUGCAAUUAUAGUAGCUUGAUUUUUAACCAACCACACUACUGUUCUACUUGUUAAAAACUUUGUCCUCUAAGGAUCAAACCAAAGCAUCUUGUUGUGAAUAAUUCCUGAUUGGCCCCAUUAUGCAUCAAAGCCUGUUGCAUUGGUAGUAGCUUCCUGAUUUUACAGAUUGAUUUUUGAGCUCUUCUGAAUGUAGAAGUAAUGUAUUAAAAAUACAGACUUACUCAAGGGCUAAGCUUCUGCCUGCUGAAUUUGUUUUUACUAACUGGAACUUGUGGUGUUUGUAGGAAAGAAAAUCCUGGAUUUUUGUUUGAAGCUUAGCUCUUCACAGACACCACCAUGUCUGUAGGCUGAAAAUGUGGUCAUAUUUAUUAGUGAGAUUUCCAGUAUGAAUAGAUUGUAAAUCUUUAUAAUCAGAAGCAUUUUAAAUAAAACAUUACCACCACCAUCACUGAAAUAUCAACAGUGACACCAAAAAAGACCACAAAAAAAAACCCAGAUGAAAGCAAAAUUUAAAAAAAUCCCUCACCAGAGCAACAAUGGUAAAAACAGUUAGACUGGAGCGUAAUAUUCAUUUUGGCUGGCAUCACAGAGCAACCACCAGUGUCUGUGCUGUGACUGGCUAAUUGUAUAAUAGAGGUUCUUCGUGUAGCUGUGUAGAAAUCUUCUGGAGUCCCACCUGCACUGUAAUGCAGAGGUAGCAUUUAAAGCAGAUAUUUGGCCUGCCUGGCAUUCUGUCUACUGUGUUUUCAUUUGUUGCUGCAUCUGACAAUCUGACUUAGAGUUCAGACUGUAAAAAUGAAGUAGCUCUUUGUCUAUGCUUCUGUCAUGACCUAUAGCAGCUACUGUGCAGGGUACUCUAAACAGAUUACUUUAUAUUUACAUCUGUUCUUAAAUGCACAAGUUCUUUGUUACAUGCACAAAAGGGAGUAUUCUGUCUCUGAUUUUGCUUUUGCUUGCUUUAUUUUCUCUAAUUCCAUUGUCAGUAAGUGUUAGUUAUCUAGUAGAAGGCACUUGAUGACCUAAGGAGAGAGAGGACUGGGCUGGCAAGGGAUUGUGGCCUACAGUCAGGUUUGUUGCAAAAGGCUUGGCUUAUUGGGUCUGGCACUUUGGUUCGGGUCUGGCCCAAGCCAUGGGUUACAGUUAGGCAGAGGAAUGUAGGAAUGUCUCUGCACACUAGUACAGGGAGAUAAUACCUGAAAGAAAUAAUAUCUGAAAUAAUCUGAGGUGCAAAAGGAUAAAAUCCUAGAAUGGAUGCAACUCACAAAAAAAUGUAAGGCUGCUGAGUUGCUGUGUUCUCUGGGGUACUCUGCAAGGAAGGUGGAAAAUUUUGAAUCUUGAUAUUUGUCUCAUUCUUCUUCUUGUCUCACAAAUUAAUUUUGAUAUGUUUCAGUGAUUAAACACAAUCCGUUAUGAUGGUAUAAAAUAUCUCUAAGAGUUAAUGCUGGAACUGACCUCAGGGGAAAUAAUUUGCAUUGGAUAAGCAAAUGUA
Molecule: RNA transcript, 3577 nt
Organism: Ficedula albicollis (Collared flycatcher)
Lineage: Eukaryota; Metazoa; Chordata; Aves; Passeriformes; Muscicapidae
Gene: HACL1
Gene name: 2-hydroxyacyl-CoA lyase 1
Exons: 18
Source: RefSeq, a predicted model, not a curated record